CAACCCUCAAGCUCUGCUUGGUAUUGGGUGUCACUGCUUAGGUGCACCUUAAAAUCAGUGGCGGUGCCACCUGGCUUCUAGCGUAGUAAUACUUUUCGUUAUGAAGUUUAGGUGUAGUCCAGCCAUCAACCCCUAAUUCUACA
Molecule: unclassified non-coding RNA, 143 nt
Filed under: uncultured Helotiales
Lineage: Eukaryota; Fungi; Ascomycota; Leotiomycetes; Helotiales
Description: sequence contains ITS2
Source: RNAcentral